CGGUACGGGUGCGUAACACGUGUGCAACCUGCCUUUAUCUGGGGGAUAGCCUUUCGAAAGGAAGAUUAAUACUCCAUAAUAUAUUGAACGGCAUCGUUUAAUAUUGAAAGCUCCGGCGGAUAGAGAUGGGCACGCGCAAGAUUAGCUAGUUGGUAAGGUAACGGCUUACCAAGGAAACGAUGCAUAGCCGACCUGAGAGGGUGAUCGGCCACACUGGAACUGAGACACGGUCCAG
This 235-nucleotide ribosomal RNA is filed under the name uncultured Flavobacteriales bacterium. Its description in RNAcentral is "partial 16S ribosomal RNA". It matches the Rfam family "Bacterial small subunit ribosomal RNA", at positions 100 to 334 of the family's 1533-position model. Lineage: Bacteria; Pseudomonadati; Bacteroidota; Flavobacteriia; Flavobacteriales. The record is from RNAcentral.